AGGUCACUGCUAUUGGGGUUCGGCUAAGCCAUGCGAGCGGAGGGCGCGGUCGAAAGAUCGUGGCCCCGCACACGGCUCAGUAACACGUAGUCAACCUACCCUUGGGACGGGGACAACCUCGGGAAACUGAGGCUAAUUCCCGAUAGGCGAGGGACGCUGGGAUGCCUCCUCGCCCAAAGCUCCGGCGCCCGAGGAUGGGACUGCGGCCUAUCAGGCUGUUGGUGGUGUGACGGACCACCAAACCUACGACGGGUACGGGCGAUGGGAGUCGGAGCCCGGAGAUGGGGACUGAGACAAGGCCCCAGGCCCUACGGGGCGCAGCAGGCGCGAAAACUCCGCAAUGCGCGCAAGCGUGACGGGGGGAUCCCAAGUGCCGUUGGUCUUUUGAUCGACGGCUUUUCGGAAGUCUAAGAAGCUUCCAGAAUAAGGGCUGGGCAAGACUGGUGCCAGCCGCCGCGGUAACACCAGCAGCCCAAGUGGUGACCACGAUUAUUGGGCCUAAAGCGCUCGUAGCCGGGUCAGCAAGUCCCUUGUGAAAUCGGGCCGCCUAACGGUUCGGCGUGCAAGGGGUACUGUUGGUCUUGAGGCCGGGAGAGGUCGGAGGUACUCCUGGGGUAGCGGUGAAAUGCUCUAAUCCUGGGGGGACCACCAGUGGCGAAGGCGUCCGACCAGAACGGACCUGACGGUGAGGGGCGAAGGCUAGGGGAGCGAACGGGAUUAGAUACCCCGGUAGUCCUAGCUGUAAAGCAUGCGGGCCAGGUGUCUAGUGCUCCUCGAGGGCACUAGGUGCCGGAGGGAAGCCGUUAAGCCCGCCGCCUGGGAAGUACGGCCGCAAGGCUGAAACUUAAAGAAAUUGGCGGGGGAGCACCACAAGGGGUGGGACCUGCGGUUCAAUUGGAUUCAACGCCGGACAACUCACCAGGGGCGACAGUUGUUUGAAGGCCAGGUUGACGACCUUGCCCGACUAGCUGAGAGGUGGUGCAUGGCCAUCGUCAGCUCGUACCGUGAGGCGUCCUGUCAAGUCAGGCAACGAGCGAGAUCCUCGCCCUUAGUUGCCAUCAGUGGGAAGCUGGGCACUCUAAGGGGACCGCUGGCGCUAAGCCAGAGGAAGGAG
RNAcentral lists this ribosomal RNA (1114 nucleotides) under uncultured archaeon. Its description in RNAcentral is "bacterial SSU rRNA". It matches the Rfam family "Archaeal small subunit ribosomal RNA", at positions 21 to 1131 of the family's 1478-position model. The record is from RNAcentral.